This is a long non-coding RNA of Pongo pygmaeus (Bornean orangutan), 6070 nucleotides long. RefSeq lists it as uncharacterized. The record is from RefSeq and is a predicted model, not a curated record. The transcript has 3 exons. NCBI's taxonomy places the organism in Eukaryota, Metazoa, Chordata, Mammalia, Primates, Hominidae.
AGGGAGGACGGUGGGACAGGAGGAGGGCUGCCCACUGUCCUGGCCCCCCAGAGGCACCAAGCCCUCGCCGUCAGUAUCCAAACCUUUACAAGUUAGACAGAGUCGGUCUUCACUGGAGGGGGCAUUCCUGGGCCCAACUGCUCUUCAGAGCCUGCUGGAAGCAAUUAAUUAGCGGGACCAGGUACCUGUGUCCUGCUGGGCUGGCCCCACCUCGGCCUUCCUCCGGAGCUCCUGCAGCCCCAGGGAAUCUGUUGCCAGCUCGUGGGUCUGAGAUCUGCAGGGGCUCACACUUAAACUGUGGUGCCCUCUGACCUGGCCUGACUUCCAUGGGAACCCAUGGCCUGAGGGGAGAGGAAGGAUGGUGCCAGGCUUCGGAGAGGGGCUGUUUUCUUUUCAGGCUCCCUGGAGCCCUGGCCGGCUGCCUCCCCUCCCAGGUUCCACCUGGACUCCUACCUGCCCUCCACAGGGCCCUGCCUGGCCCCCUUUUCCCAUCAAUCAGAAAACAGUGACCUGGCCUGCACCUGACACUUCCUCCACCUCCCCUGGGCCCGGCCUCGGGCUCCUCAGCAGCCCUGGAUUUGGCCUGGAGCCAGGGAUUUGGGCAGAGGAGAGCCCUUGCUCCGGACGAGGAGAGGCAGUUCAGGGCCUGGAGGGGACCGGGUAAGCUCAGCCUGGGGCUUCUCCGGGAGGCUGGCAGCUAGAGAGCCCUGUCUCCAGGGGCAGACAUGCACACAGGGAGAGACAACUUGCAGUCAGCAGCCAUGCGGGCCCCGGGAGUGCCUCCUGUCCUCACCAGGGUGGUGGUGGGGGCACCAGAGGUCCCAGCCGCCAUGCUGCCCCACCCUGAUCCUCGGCCUACACUCGCUCCUGGCCCUGCCUACCUGAGCUGCCCCUGCCUUGGCUCCCAGGGGCUGUCGGGCCCAUCUGUAUGGCUGCCCCCCACCCGCGAGCCCCUCCUUUGGAGAAGCACCUGUCAGUGUGAGUCUAGGGCUGGGACCUCCCGGGGCUCCUUUUUGGGUUCCCUGGGCGAUUGCACCCCAAAUGUUGUUUCCUAGGUCUGAGGGAGAGAGGUUCUCUAUCUUGCUGCUCAGACGGCCCUGGCCAGGUAAUCUCCCUCUUGAGCUGGGGGUGGGGGCACUGAGACGCCGUCCCAGGGCCUCUUCCUCCUGCUCUGCUGCCUCCAGGAACUGAGAACAGCCCCCUGCCCCCCAGGGCACUUGCCCUCGCCGUUUCACCGCAGCACACAAGUGCUCACAAGCUCGGCAGUGACUAAAAGCCAGGAAGGGCUGGGGAGGCCGGGAGCCUUCUGGGUGAACCCUGUGUUGAUGAGGCUGACAAAGCUCUGGGCUGAGCCCCACACUCCUUUCCUGACGCUCCGAUUUCAAGGCUUCUCUUAGAUGGGGCCGCUUUCUAGGAAGGGAGGUUGGGGGGUCUUCCCUGCCCGCUGGCCGGGGGAGGGUGGAUAUGAGUGGCCAGCCCAGCACCCCCUGCGCCUGUCUCGCCUGGAGCCGGCUUGGCCCCAGUACUGGCUUUCUGGAAAACAAACCUAACUUGAAAUCCUUGGAAAAGGGUGCCUGGUGCAGACCACCCUGUGUCACUGCCUGGAAACCAUGACUGGGGAGGGGCAGCCUCUCUGGGGGGUCCUCAGAGCCGGCAGAGGCUGACUCGUGGCUGAGGCUCGGCUCUGGCUCCGGCUCUGGGGUCGCCUUCUGUGACCCUCCAGCUGAUGGUGGUGGAGGCAAUGGUAGCAAAGUUUUACAAAGCUCUUCCUGGCCCCUGGUGCUGUGGACUGGGCCGGUGAUGCAGUUGGUGCUGUAUCACCCUCAGUACACAGAUGAGGAGUUGGAGCUUUGCUGGGUCUCGUGCGCAGGGGGCAACAAGGGAAGGAGCGGCCCACCCAGCCCUUUCCAAAGCUCUGUUGCUCUGUUUCCAAACCUUCCAGGCACCACGUUUAUUGAUGUGUUUGCCUCUGUCGCUCUGUUUCCAAACCUUCGAGGCACCAUGUUUAUUCAUGUGUUUGCCUCUCCCGCGAGGUUGUAAACACCAUGAAGAGAGCAAGGAUGUUUUAUCUGCUUCUGUCACAGAUUUUCAGAGCCUGGCACAAAGCCUGGCAGAGUAGCUGUUCGCACAACACCUAACGUUCCAUCAAAGAAGAUCCGCAGACAGCACGGGAGCGAAUGGAAGGAUGUUUCACACCAGUCGCCAUUAGGAGGACACAAGCCCUGAAGGGUGCUGUUCCUCUGGGAGGGGCUUUGCGACUCAGAAGGGCAGCAAAGACUUCCUGCAUUGGGUGAGAUUCAAGCACGAGGGACCCAGACCUUCAUCUCAGAUGAACAUAAGAACGACCACCAGGCAAGUUCUGAUUUAGAGUCACAGACUCCAGGCUGAGCCCUCAGGAGCCCUGUGUCACCAUCUGGCUCAGCAAACUCAAGGGCUGCCUUUCCCUGUAGCAUCUGCCUGCAGAGCCUCACUCCGCCGACGUGCAGCCCCCCAGGUGAAGCAGCCCUGUUUCAGGAGGAAGACCCAGUUUAUUUCUGCACGUGUUUGGAGUAUGGAUUCCAAAGACAUGAAUCAUUCACCUCUCUGCUUGCUCUACUCCUCAGACAUUUUGGGGUCAGGAGAAAUGGCUGAAUUAAUUUUGUGUUUUAAUGUGAUAAAAACAGCAGCAAGACUGGGUGCGGUGGCUCACACCUGUCAUCUCAGCACUUUGGGAGGCUGACGCGGGUGGAUCACCUGAGGUCAGGAGUUUGAGACCAGCCUGGCCAACAUGGUGAAACCCCAUCUCUACUGAAAAUACAAAAAUUAGCCGGGUGUGAUGGCGGGUGCCUGUAAUCCCAGCUACUCGGGAGGCUGAGACAGGAGAAUUGCCUGAACCCGGGAGGCAGAGGUUGCAGUGAGCCGAGAUUGCGCCACUGCACUCCAGCUCGGGCGACAGAGUGAGACUCAGUCUCAAAAAAACAAAAACAAAAACAAAAUAAAAAAACCCACAAAACAAAAAACAAAAACAAAAACAAAACAGCAGCCAAACAGUGCUGUGGUUCCCCCACCCAGCCACACAUGCAGGCUCCUCCACGGUGGCCGUGGCGGAGGGUCUCACGUAGCCCCUGAGGGAGGCAGCUGGAACAUGCACUUCUUCCAGGGACACCCACGGGGGGGCCCAGCUCUGCUCACCCUCUGAAGCCCACGAGGGCCGCUGGCGCUGUUCUCCUAAAAGACCUCCAGGGAGGUUUGCGAUGCCUCCUGCCGCCGUCUGAGGGCUCGGGCUCCAAGCCCUGAAAGCUCUUGCCUCUGUGCCGUUAGGACUCCGGCAGAAAACAGGGUGCUCAGCAAUGUCCUGGGGGCAGGUGAAGCAGCCGCGGGCGGGGCGUGUGGCCUGUGCAGUGCUGAGCCCAGCACCGUGGGGAUGGGAAGACGGAUGUCCUGGGGGCCUCUGAGGGGUUGAUUCUCUCACGUCCUGAGGGCCACAGGUCCGGGGCCCUGGUGUUGCAGGACAGGCUCCUUCUGGGGGUUGAAGCAGAAUGUGUCCUGGUCCCUCUCACUGGCUUCUGGAUGGCUGUCGUCUCCCUGUGUCUCUUCCCAUCUUCUUCCCUCUGUACGAGCCUCUCUCUGGGUCCAGGUUCCCCCUUUCCAUGAGGACGGCAGUCCCACCAGAUCGGGGCCUCCAGUGACCUCACCUUCCCUCAGUCUCAUCUGCAAGGGCCCUGUCUCCAAAUGAGGUCACAUUCAGGGGUCCUGGGGGUUAGAAUUUGGACAUAUGAAUAUUUGGGGGGCACAGUCCAGCCCAUAAGAGACAUGAAGUGAGGGACAGUGGAGUCAGGCUGGGGCCUUGAAAGCACCUGGCAUGUCCCCGUCUUACUCUCUCGCCACCUCCCGUCUUAGCCAGGCCCCGGCAGGACAGCCGGGCCCUUGGCUGUGGAGCACACGUGCAUCUGGCCCAGGGCCCUGAAGGGCUGCGGGGUGAGGCCUGCAGGAGCCGGAGGUGCUGGCCGCUCUCCUGAACCACCCAGAUGACCAGCAGACCCGCCCCACAAGGCCCACACCCACUCCAGGCACCAAACCGCAGCUCUUCCUCCCAAGUCCAGACCACGUCCUCCUGUGGCCAGCCCUGACCCGGAACCACACUGGGAAGGGGCUUUGGGAAACAUCCCAGCUUCCCUGUGCUGCCAUGGCCUGCCACCCUGGCCUCCCUUGGUGCUGGUGGUGUAGCCUCCGCCUCGGCCUCCCUUGGUGCUGGUGGUGUAGCCUCCGCCUCGGCCUCCCACAGUGCUGGAUGGUAUAGACUCCCGCCUUGGCCUCCCACAGUGCUCUCGCCUCACGCCCCGGCCUCCCACAGUGCUGGUGCUCUAGCCUCCUGCCUCGGCUUCCCACAGUGCUGGUCCUGCAGCCUCAUGCCCUGGCUUCCCGAAGUGCUGGUGAUGUAGCCUCUCGCCCCAGCCUCCCGCAGUGCUGGUGCUGCAGCCUCACGCCCCAGUCUCCUGCAGUGCUGGUGGUGUAGCCGCUGCACCCGGCCCCUUGUGCAUCUUGUAUCCUCUCCUGGAUCUCAGGUGACCCAGCUGUGCCCCACCCUCCCCAGCCUUGCUGAGAAGCCUCCACAGAGCCAGGACCAGAGCGUGUGACCCUGAAGCUCCCGGAAGAGUUCCGGGUCAGUCUUACAUCACUGACCUCCUAUCCGCCGGGGCUCUUUGUUACAAACUACGAGAGUAGAUGGUGGUGGAUGAUGGGACGGCUGACGGCAGGAGGGCUGGGGCCACUGCAGAGCCACAUGACGCCUGGGGUCCCAGCCAGGGCAGGGCCGUCCCCCGGGUGUCUUUAGGACGACACUGCUGUUGCUGUGAAUAAUUUCUAAAGUGUCCCAGCGCCUUCAUCUGUCCCUCAAGAUUCAAAUCCCUGGACAGAAGCCCAUCCCAGAGAGAGAGAGGGAGGCUCCACGUCUGAGGGGGAGCCCAGCUCCUACUGCCCCCGACACAUGCUCCACGUGCGUGGCCGGGGGCUUGGGUGUGUUGGGAGGCCAAGACCCUGACAGCCCAAUCAGCAAAAUCCCACGCUUGUGUGGCCAACCUUGAUCCACCCCCGCCCCCUCCUAACACACAUCCUGCCUGCCUGAGUGUGCUUCCCGGCUGCCUGACCUUUGGCCUCCGGCACAGCCGUGUCCCUGGGCUCCAGCCAGUGGGAUUCGGGGGAUUUCCAAGCCUGGCCCUACUCCUGCCCCACCAUGGUCCUUGCCCUCUUUCUCUGAGUGGAGAAUUCGGAGGGGCCAAAGGCAGCACAGCAGAGCUGGGUCAAGUGGAGCCUGGAUCCCUGCAUGACCGCGUGGACUGCUGCCCACUAUCUGGGAACAGUCCAGGUUGGCCUUCCCCUGAGUGAGAAAUGAACUGUACUGUGUCAAGCUGGGGAGUGUGAGGCUCCAUUAGAGCAGCUAGAGUUACCCACCUCAACAAACGCAACUCGCGAGCCAGCUAAGGGCACGAUCCACUUUAUGGAUGAAGAAUCUGGCAGGAUGACAAUUCGUGUCUUCAAAAAAUAUCACGCAGCCAAUUUGUGGAGAAGGUCAUACCUAACCCCAGUCUCAGGGUGCUGGAGCGUGGGCUGGAGAGGACAGCGGGGAAUCCUGAAGCAGAGGCUGCAGGUACAGCCGACUGUCCCCAGAACUCACUUUGUCCCAGAUCUUGUCAGCAGGCCCUGGGAUUGCCCCAGAAGGAGCCCAGCCCAUGUCUUUGAAUCCAGAUCCUGUGCUCUGUUGACAAAAGGACUUCUUAUCAAAAAGUUAAGGUUUUUGAUUAUAAAAGAAAUACAUAUUCACUUUAGACAGAGUAGCACAAAGAAAAAAUGACAAACUUCCUAUAAUCCUUCUAUCCAGAAAUCAUUAUUGUAAACAUUUUUGGAUAUUUCCCUCCAUGUCUUCUUGUUUCUUUCUUUUAGAGAUGGGGUCUCGCCAUGUUGCCCAGGCUGGAGCGCAGUGGUGCAAUCACAGCUCACUGCGACCUUGGAAUUCGAAGCUCCAGUGAUCCUCCUUCUUCUACCUCCCCAGCAGCCGGGGAAACAGGCACGCACUACUAUGCCUGGCUAAUUA